Molecule: transfer RNA, 81 nt
Filed under: Armatimonadota bacterium
Lineage: Bacteria; Bacillati; Armatimonadota
Description: Armatimonadetes bacterium tRNA-Leu
Rfam family: tRNA
About the family: Transfer RNA (tRNA) molecules are approximately 80 nucleotides in length. Their secondary structure includes four short double-helical elements and three loops (D, anti-codon, and T loops).
Source: RNAcentral
GCCGAAGUGGCGGAAUGGCAGACGCGGCGGUCUCAAAAACCGCUGGGGUAACCCGUGUGGGUUCGACUCCCACCUUCGGCA